Molecule: ribosomal RNA, 208 nt
Filed under: uncultured bacterium
Lineage: Bacteria
Description: partial 16S ribosomal RNA
Rfam family: Bacterial small subunit ribosomal RNA
Source: RNAcentral
UCGGAUCGCAGCCUGCAACCCGGCUGCGUGAAGCUGGAAUCGCUAGUAAUCGCGGAUCAGAAUGCCGCGGUGAAUACGUUCCCGGGUCUUGUACACACCGCCCGUCACACCAUGGGAGCCGGAAACGCCCGAAGCCAGUGGCCUGACCGUAAAGAGGGAGCUGUCGAAGGCGGGUCCGGUGACCGGGGUGAAGUCGUAACAAGGUACC